CGGUAAUUCCAGCUCCAAUAGCGUAUACUAAUGUUGUUGCAGUUAAAAAGCUCGUAGUCGGAUUUCAGUAGGCUCAGUUUGGUCUUAAUUCUAAGAUCUAUAUGGGCCUGCUUCUUUGACAGAAACUUCUAUGUUAUUCAUUUAGCGUGGGCAGCGACUGUCUCUUUUACUUUGAGAAAAUUAGAGUGUUCAAAGCAGGUAGAUGCCUGAAUAUUACUCUUGGAAUAAUGCUAUAAGACUUUGGUUCUAAUGUAUUGGUGAUUGGGACCAGAGUAAUGAUUGAUAGGGACGGUUGGGGUCUUACGUACUGCAAAGCGAGAGGUGAAAUUCUUGGACCUUUGUAUGACGAACAACUGCGAAAGCAUUGGACUAGGACGUUCCCGUUGAUCGAGAACGAAAGUUGGGGGAUCGAAGACGAUCAGAUACCGUCGUAGUCUCAACCAUAAACUAUGCCAGCUAGGGAUCGGAGGAAGUUAUUGUUUCGACUCCUUCGGCACCUUAUGAGAAAUCAAAGCAUUUGGGUUCCGGGGGGAGUAUGGUCGCAAGGCUGAAACUUAAAGGAAUUGACGGGAGGGCACCACCAGGAGUGGAGCCUGUGGCUUAAUUUGACUCAACACGGGAAAACUUACCAGGUCCGGACAUAGUAAGGAUUGACAGAUUGAAAGCUCUUUCUUGAUUCUAUGGGUGGUGGUGCAUGGCCGUUCUUAGUUGGUGGAGUGAUUUGUCUGGUUAAUUCCGUUAACGAACGAGACCUCAGCCUGCUAAAUAGUGUCAUUUUCUUCUGAAGAUGUGCACUUCUUAGAGGGACUACUUGUGAAACAACCAAGCGGAAGCUUGAGGCAAUAACAGGUCUGUGAUGCCCUUAGAUGUUCUGGGCCGCACAUGGGCUACACUGGUGCAUUCAACAAGCAUUAUAACCUUAGCCGAAGGGUUUGGGUAAUCUUUGAAAUUGCACCGUGCUUGGGAUAGACUAUUGCAAUUUUUAGUCUUCAACGAGGAAUUCCUAGUAAACGCAAGUCAUCAGCUUGCAUUGAUUACGUCCCUGCCCUUUGUACACACCGCCCGUCGCUCCUACCGAUUGGAUGAUUCGGUAAGCUUUUGGGAUUGAUUAUGUAUCUGUCAUUGACGGUACAUUUUAACAACUUAAUCAAACCUAAUCAUCUAGAGGAAGGAGAAGUCGUAACAAGGUAGCCG
RNAcentral lists this ribosomal RNA (1194 nucleotides) under uncultured Rhizaria. RNAcentral describes it as "SSU rRNA". It matches the Rfam family "Eukaryotic small subunit ribosomal RNA", at positions 577 to 1805 of the family's 1831-position model. The record is from RNAcentral.